This 447-nucleotide ribosomal RNA is filed under the name uncultured bacterium. RNAcentral's name for it is "bacterial SSU rRNA". It matches the Rfam family "Bacterial small subunit ribosomal RNA", at positions 331 to 794 of the family's 1533-position model. The record is from RNAcentral.
CCAGACUCCUACGGGAGGCAGCAGUGGGGAAUAUUGCACAAUGGGGGAAACCCUGAUGCAGCGACGCCGCGUGAGUGAAGAAGUAUUUCGGUAUGUAAAGCUCUAUCAGCAGGAACGAGACAAGACGGUACCUGACUAAGAAGCCCCGGCUAACUACGUGCCAGCAGCCGCGGUAAUACGUAGGGGGCAAGCGUUAUCCGGAAUCACUGGGUGUAAAGGGAGCGUAGACGGCUGUGCAAGCCUGAAGUGAAAGGCGGGGGCCCAACCCCGGGACUGCUCUUGGAACUGCGUGGCUGGAGUGCAGGAGGGGCAGGCGGAAUUCCUGGUGUAGCGGUGAAAUGCGUAGAUAUCAGGAGGAACACCGGUGGCGAAGGCGGCCUGCUGGACUGCAACUGACGUUGAGGCCCGAAAGCGUGGGGAGCAAACAGGAUUAGAUACCCGGGUAGA